RNAcentral lists this ribosomal RNA (253 nucleotides) under uncultured bacterium. RNAcentral's name for it is "partial 16S ribosomal RNA". It matches the Rfam family "Bacterial small subunit ribosomal RNA", at positions 524 to 776 of the family's 1533-position model. The record is from RNAcentral.
UACGGGGGGGGCAAGCGUUGUUCGGAAUUACUGGGCGUAAAGGGCUUGUAGGCGGCCAACUAAGUCGAACGUGAAAUCCCCGGGCUCAACCCGGGAACUGCGUCCGAUACUGGAAGGCUUGAAUCCGGGAGAGGGAUGCGGAAUUCCAGGUGUAGCGGUGAAAUGCGUAGAUAUCUGGAGGAACACCGGUGGCGAAGGCGGCAUCCUGGACCGGCAUUGACGCUGAGGCGCGAAAGCCAGGGGAGCAAACGGG